This 63-nucleotide non-coding RNA is filed under the name Pyrobaculum islandicum DSM 4184. Its description in RNAcentral is "Pyrobac-1 RNA". It matches the Rfam family "Pyrobac-1 RNA". Rfam says of the family: The motif has been shown by to be part of sRNA202 and sRNA203 canonical and noncanonical pseudouridine guide RNA (H/ACA RNA). The record is from Rfam by way of RNAcentral. Lineage: Archaea; Thermoproteati; Thermoproteota; Thermoprotei; Thermoproteales; Thermoproteaceae.
ACUGCCGGGACUACGCCGGAUAAGAGCGGCUAUAUGCCGCGCUGUGAAUCCGGCGGGGUUUUA